GAUUCUGGCUCAGGAUGAACGCUAGCUACAGGCUUAACACAUGCAAGUCGAGGGUAGCAGGGUAGCAAUACCGCUGACGACCGGCGCACGGGUGAGUAACACGUAUCCAACCUUCCCAUAACUCAGGGAUAGCCUUUCGAAAGAAAGAUUAAUACCUGAUAGUACUUUUUCAAGGCAUCUUGAAAAAGUUAAAGAUUUAUUGGUUAUGGAUGGGAUGCGUUCCAUUAGAUAGUUGGUGAGGUAACGGCUCACCAAGUCUUCGAUGGAUAGGGGUUCUGAGAGGAAGGUCCCCCACAUUGGUACUGAGACACGGACCAAACUCCUACGGGAGGCAGCAGUGAGGAAUAUUGGUCAAUGGGCGAAAGCCUGAACCAGCCAAGUAGCGUGAAGGAAUGAAGGUCCUAUGGAUUGUAAACUUCUUUUAUAGUAGAAUAAAGUGAUCCACGUGUGGAUUUUUGUAUGUAUACUAUGAAUAAGGAUCGGCUAACUCCGUGCCAGCCGCCGC
This 505-nucleotide ribosomal RNA is filed under the name uncultured bacterium. RNAcentral describes it as "bacterial SSU rRNA". It matches the Rfam family "Bacterial small subunit ribosomal RNA", at positions 15 to 518 of the family's 1533-position model. The record is from RNAcentral.